GGGCCAUCGCUCAACGGAUAAAAGGUACUCCGGGGAUAACAGGCUGAUACCGCCCAAGAGUUCAUAUCGACGGCGGUGUUUGGCACCUCGAUGUCGGCUCAUCACAUCCUGGGGCUGAAGUAGGUCCCAAGGGUAUGGCUGUUCGCCAUUUAAAGUGGUACGCGAGCUGGGUUUAGAACGUCGUGAGACAGUUCGGUCCCUAUCUGCCGUGGGCGCUGGAGAAUUGAGGGGGGCUGCUCCUAGUACGAGAGGACCGGAGUGGACGCAUCACUGGUGUUCGGGUUGUCAUGCCAAUGGCAYUGCCCGGUAGCUAAAUGCGGAAGAGAUAAGUGCUGAAAGCAUCUAAGCACGAAACUUGCCCCGAGAUGAGUUCUCCCUGASMCUUUAAGKSUCCUGAAGGAACGUUGAAGACGACGACGUUGAUAGGUCGGGUGUGUAAGCGCAGCGAUGCGUUGAGCUAACCGAUACUAAUGAACCGUGAGGCUUAACCUU
This 492-nucleotide ribosomal RNA is filed under the name Enterobacter hormaechei. RNAcentral's name for it is "partial 23S ribosomal RNA". Lineage: Bacteria; Pseudomonadati; Pseudomonadota; Gammaproteobacteria; Enterobacterales; Enterobacteriaceae. The record is from RNAcentral.